Molecule: ribosomal RNA, 253 nt
Filed under: uncultured bacterium
Lineage: Bacteria
Description: partial 16S ribosomal RNA
Rfam family: Bacterial small subunit ribosomal RNA
Source: RNAcentral
UACGAAGGGUGCUAGCGUUGUUCGGAAUCACUGGGCGUAAAGCGCGCGUAGGCGGCGAAUCAAGUCAGAGGUGAAAUCCCCAGGCUCAACCUGGGAACUGCCUUUGAAACUGAUUUGCUUGAGUGUCGGAGGGGAUAGCGGAAUUGCUAAUGUAGAGGUGAAAUUCGUAGAUAUUAGCAGGAACACCGGUGGCGAAGGCGGCUAUCUGGACGACAACUGACGCUGAGGCGCGAAAGCGUGGGGAUCAAACAGG